AUUAUGGAUGAAAGGCGCUUUUGCGUCACUGAUGGAUGGACCCGCGGUGCAUUAGCUAGUUGGUGGGGUAACGGCCUACCAAGGCUGCGAUGCAUAGCCGACCUGAGAGGGUGAUCGGCCACACUGGGACUGAGACACGGCCCAGACUCCUACGGGAGGCAGCAGUAGGGAAUCUUCGGCAAUGGACGCAAGUCUGACCGAGCAACGCCGCGUGAGUGAAGAAGGUUUUCGGAUCGUAAAACUCUGUUGUUAGAGAAGAACAAGGAUGAGAGUGGAAAGUUCAUCCCUGACGGUAUCUAACCAGAAGUMCGAUUUUGC
RNAcentral lists this ribosomal RNA (318 nucleotides) under uncultured bacterium. Its description in RNAcentral is "bacterial SSU rRNA". It matches the Rfam family "Bacterial small subunit ribosomal RNA", at positions 193 to 501 of the family's 1533-position model. The record is from RNAcentral.